This 301-nucleotide ribosomal RNA is filed under the name uncultured bacterium. RNAcentral describes it as "partial 16S ribosomal RNA". It matches the Rfam family "Bacterial small subunit ribosomal RNA", at positions 509 to 807 of the family's 1533-position model. The record is from RNAcentral.
CAGUCGCCGCGGGAAUACAGAGGGUGCGAGCGUUAAUCGGAUUUACUGGGCGUAAAGCGUGCGUAGGCGGCUAAUUAAGUCGGAUGUGAAAUCCCCGAGCUUAACUUGGGAAUUGCAUUCGAUACUGGUUAGCUAGAGUGUGGGAGAGGAUGGUAGAAUUCCAGGUGUAGCGGUGAAAUGCGUAGAGAUCUGGAGGAAUACCGAUGGCGAAGGCAGCCAUCUGGCCUAACACUGACGCUGAGGUACGAAAGCAUGGGGAGCAAACAGGAUUAGAUACCCCCGUAGUCCCUGUCUCUUAUAC